UUUCGGGGUUGGUGACGGUACCUGCAGAAGAAGCGCCGGCUAACUACGUGCCAGCAGCCGCGGUAAUACGUAGGGCGCAAGCGUUAUCCGGAAUUAUUGGGCGUAAAGAGCUCGUAGGCGGUUUGUCGCGUCUGCCGUGAAAGUCCGGGGCUUAACUCCGGAUCUGCGGUGGGUACGGGCAGACUAGAGUGCAGUAGGGGAGACUGGAAUUCCUGGUGUAGCGGUGAAAUGCGCAGAUAUCAGGAGGAACACCGAUGGCGAAGGCAGGUCUCUGGGCUGUAACUGACGCUGAGGAGCGAAAGCAUGGGGAGCGAACAGGAUUAGAUACCCUGGUAGUCCAUGCCGUAAACGUUGGGCACUAGGUGUGGGGGACAUUCCACGUUUUCCGCGCCGUAGCUAACGCAUUAAGUGCCCCGCCUGGGGAGUACGGCCGCAAGGCUAAAACUCAAAGGAAUUGACGGGGGCCCGCACAAGCGGCGGAGCAUGCGGAUUAAUUCGAUGCAACGCGAAGAACCUUACCAAGGCUUGACAUGAACCGGAAUGAUGCAGAGAUGUGUCAGCCACUUGUGGCCGGUUUACAGGUGGUGCAUGGUUGUCGUCAGCUCGUGUCGUGAGAUGUUGGGUUAAGUCCCGCAACGAGCGCAACCCUCGUUCCAUGUUGCCAGCGGGUUAUGCCGGGGACUCAUGGGAGACUGCCGGGGUCAACUCGGAGGAAGGUGGGGACGACGUCAAAUCAUCAUGCCCCUUAUGUCUUGGGCUUCACGCAUGCUACAAUGGCCGGUACAAAGGGUUGCGAUACUGUGAGGUGGAGCUAAUCCCAAAAAGCCGGUCUCAGUUCGGAUUGAGGUCUGCAACUCGACCUCAUGAAGUUGGAGUCGCUAGUAAUCGCAGAUCAGCAACGCUGCGGUGAAUACGUUCCCGGGCCUUGUACACACCGCCCGUCAAGUCACGAAAGUUGGUAACACCCGAAGCCGGUGGCCU
Molecule: ribosomal RNA, 981 nt
Filed under: Arthrobacter sp.
Lineage: Bacteria; Bacillati; Actinomycetota; Actinomycetes; Micrococcales; Micrococcaceae
Description: bacterial SSU rRNA
Rfam family: Bacterial small subunit ribosomal RNA
Source: RNAcentral